UGAGAUGUGGCUCAGUGGCGGAGGGCCUGCCUAGCACGCAGGGGCUCUGGGUUCAAACCCCAGUACUGCAA
This 71-nucleotide transfer RNA is filed under the name Neotoma lepida (desert woodrat). It matches the Rfam family "tRNA". Rfam says of the family: Transfer RNA (tRNA) molecules are approximately 80 nucleotides in length. Their secondary structure includes four short double-helical elements and three loops (D, anti-codon, and T loops). The record is from Rfam by way of RNAcentral. Lineage: Eukaryota; Metazoa; Chordata; Mammalia; Rodentia; Cricetidae.